RNAcentral lists this ribosomal RNA (492 nucleotides) under uncultured bacterium. Its description in RNAcentral is "partial 16S ribosomal RNA". It matches the Rfam family "Bacterial small subunit ribosomal RNA", at positions 29 to 507 of the family's 1533-position model. The record is from RNAcentral.
AAUGAACGCUGGCGGCAUGCCUAAUACAUGCAAGUCGAACGAACAGACAAUAAGCUUUUGCCUCUAACGUUAGCGACGGACGGGUGGGUAACGCGUACAUAACCUACUUAUAAUACGUGGGGAACUUCGGGAGGACGGUUCUGAUACCACAGAAUAUAUUGUACCGCAUGGAUCAAUAGUUAAUGACAGUUUUCCUGUCACUAAUAGAUGAUGUCGGAUUAGCUAGUUGGGUGGGUAAAGGCCCACCAAGGCGAGGAUCCGUAGCUGGUCUGAGAGGAUGAUCAGCCACACUGGAACUGAGACACGGUCCAGACUCCUACGGGAGGCAGCAGUGGGGAAUAUUGGACAAUGGGCGCAAGCCUGAUCCAGCCAUACCGCGUGGGUGAAGAAGGCCUUCGGGUUGUAAAGCCCUUUUGUUGGGAAAGAAAAGCAGCAGGUUAAUACCCCGCUGUUCUGACGGUACCCAAAGAAUAAGCACCGGCUAACUUCGUG